RNAcentral lists this ribosomal RNA (497 nucleotides) under uncultured bacterium. Its description in RNAcentral is "partial 16S ribosomal RNA". It matches the Rfam family "Bacterial small subunit ribosomal RNA", at positions 28 to 507 of the family's 1533-position model. The record is from RNAcentral.
GAUGAACGCUGGCGGCGUGCCUAAUACAUGCAAGUCGAGCGAACAGAUAAGGAGCUUGCUCCUUUGACGUUAGCGGCGGACGGGUGAGUAACACGUGGAUAACCUACCUAUAAGACUGGGAUAACUUCGGGAAACCGGAGCUAAUACCGGAUAACAUAUUGAACCGCAUGGUUCAAUAGUGAAAGGCGGCUUUGCUGUCACUUAUAGAUGGAUCCGCGCCGUAUUAGCUAGUUGGUAAGGUAACGGCUUACCAAGGCAACGAUACGUAGCCGACCUGAGAGGGUGAUCGGCCACACUGGAACUGAGACACGGUCCAGACUCCUACGGGAGGCAGCAGUAGGGAAUCUUCCGCAAUGGGCGAAAGCCUGACGGAGCAACGCCGCGUGAGUGAUGAAGGUCUUCGGGUCGUAAAACUCUGUUAUCAGGGAAGAACAAAUGUGUAAGUAACUGUGCACAUCUUGACGGUACCUGAUCAGAAAGCCACGGCUAACUACGUG